AACUUUGUGCAGUGGCAGUAUUGUAGCCAGUGAGAUUUAUCCAGACACAAUUAUCACUAAUUGAAAACUUUUCCCAGUACCCCACCAUGAUGACUUGAAAUACAGUCAUCAUGUUGGCACUGGCAAUUUUUGAGAAUCUUUACGGAGA
Small nuclear RNA from Sorex araneus (European shrew), 148 nucleotides. RefSeq annotates it as U4 spliceosomal RNA. NCBI's taxonomy places the organism in Eukaryota, Metazoa, Chordata, Mammalia, Eulipotyphla, Soricidae. The record is from RefSeq and is a predicted model, not a curated record. The transcript has a single exon.